Long non-coding RNA from Acromyrmex echinatior (Panamanian leafcutter ant), 436 nucleotides. Lineage: Eukaryota; Metazoa; Arthropoda; Insecta; Hymenoptera; Formicidae. The record is from RefSeq and is a predicted model, not a curated record.
AAAACCGCGGAUACUUUUUAAAUGACCUAAUAUAAGAUACAUGGACGCGAUAAGGAUAUAGCUAUCCUCUUCAUAUUGUGUGAGAAAUAUAUACUGGAUUUGUACAGUGUAAUUUGGCAAAAAGUGAAAGAAGUCAGUCCGGAUGCGCUGCAAAGAAUACAAUUGAUUGUCAGUGAUUAUGAAUAUGCGGCUAUGAAGGCUGUAAGGGAGAUCUUCCCAGAAGCACAACUAAUCGACUAUUGAUUUCAUUUCAGUCAGAUCGUUCUAAAAUGUUAGAACGUCCUAUUAACGGUAGCACCUAGAAAAGUUCUCGACCUUACUAUGGCCUUAUCGUUAACACAAGCCGAUGCGUUCGAAACAGGAUUACAAAUAAUUCAAGAAGUUGAUAUGACAUCUAUAGAAUAUUGGACUGUGUUACAAUUCACGUACUUGGUUU